This 253-nucleotide ribosomal RNA is filed under the name uncultured bacterium. Its description in RNAcentral is "partial 16S ribosomal RNA". It matches the Rfam family "Bacterial small subunit ribosomal RNA", at positions 524 to 776 of the family's 1533-position model. The record is from RNAcentral.
UACGUAGGUGGCAAGCGUUGUCCGGAUUUACUGGGUGUAAAGGGCGUGUAGCCGGGCUGACAAGUCAGAUAUGAAAUUCCGGGGCUCAACCCCGGACCUGCAUUUGAAACUGUUGGUCUUGAGUAUCGGAGAGGCAGGCGGAAUUCCUAGUGUAGCGGUGAAAUGCGUAGAUAUUAGGAGGAACACCAGUGGCGAAGGCGGCCUGCUGGACGACAACUGACGGUGAGGCGCGAAAGCGUGGGGAGCAAACAGG